GGCGUGUUAGUCAAGCGGUUAAGACACCGGCCCUUCAAGCCGGGAACACGGGUUCGCCCCCCGUACACGCUACCA
RNAcentral lists this transfer RNA (75 nucleotides) under Bacteroides thetaiotaomicron. RNAcentral describes it as "tRNA-Glu". It matches the Rfam family "tRNA". Rfam says of the family: Transfer RNA (tRNA) molecules are approximately 80 nucleotides in length. Their secondary structure includes four short double-helical elements and three loops (D, anti-codon, and T loops). Lineage: Bacteria; Pseudomonadati; Bacteroidota; Bacteroidia; Bacteroidales; Bacteroidaceae. RNAcentral also lists the same sequence under 18 other names. The record is from RNAcentral.